GACGAAGGGGGCUAGCGUUGUUCGGAAUUACUGGGCGUAAAGCGAGUGUAGGCGGUUAUCCAAGUCAGGUGUGAAAGCCUUGAGCUCAACUCAAGAAAUGCACUUGAUACUGGGUGACUAGAGGACCGGAGAGGAUAGUGGAAUUCCCAGUGUAGUGGUGAAAUACGUAGAGAUUGGGAAGAACACCAGUGGCGAAGGCGGCUAUCUGGACGGUUACUGACGCUAAGACUCGAAAGCGUGGGGAGCAAACAGG
Molecule: ribosomal RNA, 253 nt
Filed under: uncultured bacterium
Lineage: Bacteria
Description: partial 16S ribosomal RNA
Rfam family: Bacterial small subunit ribosomal RNA
Source: RNAcentral